UACGUAGGGGGCUAGCGUUGUCCGGAAUCAUUGGGCGUAAAGCGCGUGUAGGCGGUCCGGUAAGUCCGCUGUGAAAGUCGAGGGCUCAACCCUCGAAUGCCGGUGGAUACUGUCGGGCUAGAGUACGGAAGAGGCGAGUGGAAUUCCUGGUGUAGCGGUGAAAUGCGCAGAUAUCAGGAGGAACACCGAUGGCGAAGGCAGCUCGCUGGGACGGUACUGACGCUGAGGCGCGAAAGCGUGGGGAGCAAACAGG
This 253-nucleotide ribosomal RNA is filed under the name uncultured bacterium. Its description in RNAcentral is "partial 16S ribosomal RNA". It matches the Rfam family "Bacterial small subunit ribosomal RNA", at positions 524 to 776 of the family's 1533-position model. The record is from RNAcentral.